Molecule: long non-coding RNA, 528 nt
Filed under: Nicotiana tabacum (common tobacco)
Lineage: Eukaryota; Viridiplantae; Streptophyta; Magnoliopsida; Solanales; Solanaceae
Description: long non-coding RNA (NTAB_LNC004706)
Source: RNAcentral
UCAGUUUAGGGUUUAAACCCUAAUGCUGACUGGAAGCAAAAGCUCAGUUUAGGGUUUAAAACCCUAAUGCUGGCUGAAAGGAAAAGCUCAGUUUAGGGUUUAAAACCCUAAUGCUGGCUAAAGGAAAAAUUUCAGUUUAGGGUUUAAAACCCUAAUGCUGACUAAAAGAAAAAAUUCAGUUUAGGGUUUAAAACCCUAAUGCUGACUAAAAGGAAAAAUUCAGUUUAGGGUUUAAAACCCUAAUGCUGAUUGCAUGAAAAAGCUCAGUUUAGGGUUUAAAACCCUAAUGCUGGCUGAAAGGAAAAAGUUCAGUUUAGGGUUUAAAACCCUAAUGCUGACUAAAAGGAAAAUUCAGUUUAGGGUUUAGAACCCUAAUGCUAAUUGCAUGGAAAAGCUCAGUUUAGGGUUUAAAACCCUAAUGCUGGCUGAAAAGGAAAAAGUUCAGUUUAAGGUUUAAAACCCUAAUGCUGACUAAAAGGAAAAUUCAGUUUAGGGUUUAGAACCCUAAUGCUGAUUGCAUGGAAAAGC